GACGAACGCUGGCGGCGUGCUUAACACAUGCAAGUCGAGCGGUAAGGCCCCUUCGGGGGUACACGAGCGGCGAACGGGUAGAGUAACACGUGAGCAACCUACCCUCAACUUCGGGAUAAGCCUCGGAAACGGGGUCUAAUACCGGGAUAUCACUCCUGGUCUCAUGGCUUGGGGUUGAAAGUUCUGGCGGUUGGGGAUGGGCUCGCGGCCUAUCAGCUUGUU
RNAcentral lists this ribosomal RNA (222 nucleotides) under uncultured bacterium. RNAcentral describes it as "partial 16S ribosomal RNA". It matches the Rfam family "Bacterial small subunit ribosomal RNA", at positions 28 to 250 of the family's 1533-position model. The record is from RNAcentral.